RNAcentral lists this ribosomal RNA (756 nucleotides) under uncultured bacterium. RNAcentral describes it as "bacterial SSU rRNA". It matches the Rfam family "Bacterial small subunit ribosomal RNA", at positions 8 to 796 of the family's 1533-position model. The record is from RNAcentral.
AGAGUUUGAUCAUGGCUCAGAAUCAACGCUGGCGGCGUGCCUAACACAUGCAAGUCGAACGAGAAAGUGGAGCAAUCCAUGAGUAAAGUGGCGCACGGGUGAGUAACACGUGACUAACCUACCCUGGAGUGGGGGAUAACUGAGGGAAACCUUAGCUAAUACCGCAUAAUACCUACGGGUCAAAGGAGCAAUUCGCUUCAGGAGGGGGUCGCGGCCGAUUAGUUAGUUGGCGGGGUAAUGGCCCACCAAGACAGUGAUCGGUAUCCGGCCUGAGAGGGCGCACGGACACACUGGAACUGAAACACGGUCCAGACUCCUACGGGAGGCAGCAGUGGGGAAUUUUGCGCAACGGGGGAAACCCUGACGCAGCAACGCCGCGUGGAGGAUGAAGUCCUUCGGGACGUAAACUCCUUUCGAUCGGGACGAUUAUGACGGUACCGGAAGAAGAAGCCCCGGCUAACUUCGUGCCAGCAGCCGCGGUAAUACGAGGGGGGCGAGCGUUGUUCGGAAUUAUUGGGCGUAAAGGGUGCGUAGGCGGUUUUGUAAGUCUUAUGUGAAAUCUAUGGGCUCAACUCAUAGACUGCAUGAGAAACUGCAGGGCUUGAGUAUGGGAGAGGUGAGUGGAAUUCCUGGUGUAGCGGUGAAAUGCGUAGAUAUCAGGAGGAACACCUGUGGCGAAAGCGGCUCACUGGACCAUAACUGACGCUGAUGCACGAAAGCUAGGGGAGCAAACAGGAUUAGAUACCCUAGUAGUCC